CUUUAAGUCAAAAUUGUAAUUUUGUGAAAAUCUUGAAAACUACAAAUCAAGACCUAGUGGUUGGUAAUAUAUGUUCAACAGUUUGUAAGAAACUAUCAAGUCAGUCUUUUUUAAAAAGAGACUGAAAUAUUCCUCAUGUAUUAUAUUUUCAUCUUUGUAUUACUGUGAAUUCAUAUGUUCUCAUGCAUGCCAUGUCAACCAAUUUUCAUGGAUUAGGGGACAGGGAUAUUUUUUGGGAUGCCUGCUUUUGUGAUUUAAAAAAAUCUUCAUACAUUUUUUGUCAUACAAGCUUUAAUAUUUGAAAUUUGUACUUUGUGGAAUACUUAAAUUUAUUGUUUUUUGCCUUCAUAAAAAAAUCAAAUGUAAAUCAGUACCAAUAUAAAUAAUGAACUUAAAGUACAUUUACCAAAUUGUACUAUCAACAUGAUUAAGAAGAAAUGUUAUAACUUA
This 450-nucleotide long non-coding RNA is filed under the name Mytilus galloprovincialis (Mediterranean mussel). The record is from RNAcentral. Lineage: Eukaryota; Metazoa; Mollusca; Bivalvia; Mytilida; Mytilidae.